GUGGAGUUAACAGAGCAAGGAAGGAAGAGGAACAUUUCUGCAGUAAGAGCAGCUGUGGGUUAUCAGGAAUCACCCUUUUGGGUUCACUGAGGUGGGUUUCUUUGAAGAAGGAAUUAUAAAACCUAAACCCACAACUUCUUUUGUAGCUUCUAUAUAAUGACGCUGGUGCCACUGAUAAUAAAUAAAUAAAUAAAUAGAACUUUUCUUCCUAUUAUUAAACACCCUCUGACUCCUGUGUUUUACUUUUUUUGUUUGUUUUUCCUUUUUUUUUUUCCUUUUUUUUCCUUAACAUGGAAGCACCACUCCAUGGUGGUGUUUGGGGUGGCGAGUGCCCGGAGCCACGUCCCCCAUGGGCCGGGACAGCCCGAGCCCUGCCGCUGCCGUCUGAGGGCGGCCGGGCCCGAGGCUGCCCAGGGGCGAGGAGGAACCCGGGGCCCGGCCGAGGGGGCGGGGAGGCGGCGGGGCCGGGCCGGGCUCCCGGCGGCGGGCAGGGAGGAGUUAGGAGGGGACGGUCGGAAACCGGGGGGGGGGAGCGGCCGCGGUGGCGGCGUUAAAACCGCGCGGCCCCGGGCACGGCCGCCGGAGUCGCUCGGCGGCAGCGCAAGAUGCGGGGGGCGGAGGCGGGCGGCUGAGCACGGGCUGCAGUUUCUGAGUGCGUGCAGGAGCAGCGAGCUGCAGGCAGCCCCGGGUUUCUGCUCGGCGUCUCCGUCCGGCGGCCGCGGGGAAGCGGCGCCCAGCCUGGCACCAUGAGCUCCGGCACCAGCGCCCCCGUGAAGGUGGUCAGCAGCCUCGCCAACACUGAUGUCAACUAUGUCAUCAAAGAGCACUAUAAUUACACGGGAAAGCUAAAUGAGAAUGCGGACAGUGGAAUAAAAGUGACGUCGGUGGUUUUUAUCAUCAUUUGCUGCUUUAUAAUCUUAGAGAACAUUUUUGUCUUGCUCACCAUCUGGAAAACCAAGAAAUUUCACAGACCGAUGUACUAUUUCAUUGGGAACUUGGCUCUUUCAGACUUGCUGGCUGGUGUGGCUUACACUGCCAACCUCCUGCUCUCUGGACACAAAACCUACAGCCUCACCCCCUCCCAGUGGUUUGUAAGAGAAGGCAGCAUGUUUGUUGCCUUGUCUGCUUCUGUGUUCAGUUUGUUGGCCAUUGCCAUCGAGAGAUACAUCACCAUGUUGAAGAUGAAGCUCCACAAUGGCAGCAACAGCUUCCGCUCCUUCUUGCUGAUCAGUGCUUGCUGGGUUAUCUCUGUGAUACUCGGGGGACUCCCGAUUAUGGGAUGGAACUGCAUCAACCUCCUGUCCAACUGCUCCACCGUGCUGCCUCUCUACCACAAGCACUAUAUUCUCUUUUGCACCACAGUUUUCACUGGCCUUUUGCUAUCUAUUGUUGUCCUCUAUUGCAGGAUCUACUCCAUGGUGAGGACUAGGAGCCGUAGGCUGACAUUUCGAAAAAACAUUACCAAAGCUACUAGGAGCUCAGAAAAGUCACUGGCGUUGCUCAAGACAGUGAUCAUAGUUCUGAGUGCCUUCAUUGCCUGCUGGGCUCCCUUGUUCAUCCUGCUUUUACUGGAUGUGGGCUGUAAAGUGAAGACCUGCCCAAUCCUAUAUAAAGCAGAGUAUUUCUUAGUACUGGCCGUGCUCAACUCAGCCACGAACCCUAUCAUCUAUACGUUAACAAACAAAGAAAUACUCUGCUGUUAG
RNAcentral lists this long non-coding RNA (1703 nucleotides) under Anas platyrhynchos platyrhynchos (common mallard). RNAcentral describes it as "lncRNA (ENSAPLG00000001856.2)". Lineage: Eukaryota; Metazoa; Chordata; Aves; Anseriformes; Anatidae. The record is from RNAcentral.